This 796-nucleotide ribosomal RNA is filed under the name uncultured bacterium. RNAcentral's name for it is "bacterial SSU rRNA". It matches the Rfam family "Bacterial small subunit ribosomal RNA", at positions 8 to 843 of the family's 1533-position model. The record is from RNAcentral.
AGAGUUUGAUCCUGGCUCAGGAUGAACGCUGGCGGUAUGCCUAACACAUGCAAGUCGUACGAGAGUUUUUAACUCUAGUGGCGGACGGGUGAGUAACACGUGAGAAUUUGCCUUUAGGAGGGGGAUAACAAUUGGAAACGAAUGCUAAUACCCCAUAUGCUUUUGAGUGAAACGGAUUUAUCCGCCUAGAGAGAAGCUCGCGGCUGAUUAGCUUGUUGGUAAGGUAAGAGCUUACCAAGGCGACGAUCAGUAUCUGGUUUGAGAGGACGAUCAGACACACUGGAACUGAGACACGGUCCAGACUCCUACGGGAGGCAGCAGUGGGGAAUUUUCCGCAAUGGGCGAAAGCCUGACGGAGCAAUACCGCGUGAGGGAAGACUGCCUAUGGGUUGUAAACCUCUUUUUUCAGGGAGGAAUAAAUGACGUGUACCUGAAGAAUAAGCAUCGGCUAACUCCGUGCCAGCAGCCGCGGUAAGACGGAGGAUGCAAGUGUUAUCCGGAAUCACUGGGCGUAAAGCGUCUGUAGGUGGCCUAAUAAGUCAACUGUUAAAUCUUGAGGCUCAACUUCAAAAUCGCAGUCGAAACUAUUAGACUAGAGUAUAGUAGAGGUAAAGGGAAUUUCCAGUGGAGCGGUGAAAUGCGUAGAUAUUGGAAAGAACACCGAUGGCGAAAGCACUUUACUGGGCUAUUACUAACACUCAGAGACGAAAGCUAGGGUAGCAAAUGGGAUUAGAUACCCCAGUAGUCCUAGCCGUAAACAAUGGAUACUAGAUGUUGAACAGAUCGACCUGUGCAG